UUACUAUCAAUAAAAUUUGGUAUGGUGGAUAUAAACAACGAUUCACUUGGCUAGCUAAUAGAGCUCUCCCAUUUUCUACAUCUUACUAAUGUAGGUGCUCCUCCUAAACUUCGGAGAUGAAUUGCAGCCCGCGGCCUCUUCUACUGCACACCCAAGGGUGACAACCUCCACUGACUAGCAUCUUAGAUGCCCCUCGGCCACAUCGCCGCGUGAGAUAUUUUCAACGAAGAACCGCCAAAGCCUGAGGCAUGUUACAUUGGUACCCAAUAACAAUUUGAUUACGUCAUACCAGAUAUGAGUGACUAAUCCAGUCAUCCAGAUGACUUCAAUGCAAAUAGGUAGUCUUUGUGAAGGGAGUUAGCAUACAAGGACAUGGGAGACAAAUAAAGGCAGCUCGUGUGAAGGCAACUUGUCCGAGUUGUGGCCAUGGUGGUGGUGUGCCUCUCUUCCCAGGCUGAUUUCAAGAGCACACAAAAUCUCUUUUGUAUUAGAUGCUUCUAUUUGACUUACCUAGUGAGAAAACUAUGAGCCUUGCGCUGUAUAUGCAGCGCUAUGUUUCUUUUUAGAUUGAUAUUUUUAUUGGAAGGGUUAAUGAUUGAUGCACGUCUGUUGUUUGUAGCCAGCUUAAGAGUCAAUGAGCCAUCACUUUCCCAUCAGACUGUCGGACUGCGUGGUGGU
Molecule: non-coding RNA, 678 nt
Organism: Lolium perenne
Lineage: Eukaryota; Viridiplantae; Streptophyta; Magnoliopsida; Poales; Poaceae
Source: RefSeq, a predicted model, not a curated record